This 546-nucleotide long non-coding RNA is filed under the name Gallus gallus (chicken). Lineage: Eukaryota; Metazoa; Chordata; Aves; Galliformes; Phasianidae. The record is from RNAcentral.
CCCUGGUGCACUAGGUAGAGCAAUAGGUGGCUGCUUCAUGACAGGAGGCAGCGCAGAUGGGAGUUGAUAGCCUUGUAGUUUUAAUUUGAUAAGUUUCAUAGCUAUUGAAAACUCCAGCUGAUCCAUCCUUCCAUCAUUGUUCAUGUCAGCUAAAGCCCAUAUCUGUGCUAACACCGGCUGAGGUAACCCAGACUGAAAAAAAAAGUUUCUAGCUUGAUCACCAGUGAUAAAUCCAGAUGUUGGUUUCAGACUGUGGAACUGUUGAUCAUGUUUAGCUCUCUCCUCCACAGUAAUAGCCCAGAUAUCCAGGUUGCCCCCAAAAGGUGUUGGAAACUGAGCCAUGGUUCUUUCACUUUUAGCUUAUUAAUGGAUGCCUCAUAUCUGCGCGGGCCGCCGGGCCCCGCUCACACCCAUGGCGACGGCGGGGGGGAUGGAGGAGCCGGAGCGGCGCCCGCCACCGCCUCCGCCAGGCGCACCAUCCCCUCCCGCUGCCUCCUCAGCCGCCGUCUGGCGGGCGGCGAGGGGAGGAGCCCACACCGCGCUCGC